AGGGACGUUGGCAACGACGACCCAGUGCCGGAAAGUUCGUCAAACUUGGUCAUUUAGAGGAAGUAAAAGUCGUAACAAGGUUUCUCCUCCCAGCCUCAUCUGCUGAAUCCUUACACAGCGACUCUAAACAACUGUGCAGCCCGCUUCGUUGCGGGCGAUACCAUCCAACUGCCUGGGAAUUCUCUCUGGAGUAUCACCAGCAGCCUGAACCUCCGGGUCAGGUCCACAGAUCAAGUGAUGGUGGCUGUCCGAGUUACAGCUAAGAUAUGAUCGGUCCUAACUGUCACCAGUUCAGGAGUCAACGUUCCGUAGGUGAACCUGCGGAAGGAUCAUUAACGAUUUUGACCCUUCGGGGUCGAUCUCCAACCCUUUGUCUACCUUCCUUGUUGCUUUGGCGGGCCGUUGUUCGCUCUCACGAGCGACACCGCUGGCUUCACGGCUAGUGAGCGCCCGCCAGAGUCCAUCAAAACUCUGAUUCAAACCUACAGUCUGAGUAUAUAUUUUAAUAAAUUAAAACUUUCAACAACGGAUCUCUUGGUUCUGGCAUCGAUGAAGAACGCAGCGAAAUGCGAUAAGUAAUGUGAAUUGCAGAAUUCAGUGAAUCAUCGAAUCUUUGAACGCACAUUGCGCCCCUUGGUAUUCCGAGGGGCAUGCCUGUUCGAGCGUCAUUUCACCACUCAAGCUCAGCUUGGUAUUGGGUCAUCGUCUGGUCAAACAGGCGUACCUGAAAAUCAGUGGCGGUGCCCAUCCGGCUUCAAGCAUAGUAACUUUUAUCUUGCUUUGGAAGUUCUGGAGGUUACACCUGCCAACAACCCCAAUUUUUUCAAUGAUUGACCUCGGAUCAGGUAGGAAUACCCGCUGAACUUAAGCAUAUCAAUAAGCGGAGGAAAAGAAACCAACAGGGAUUGCCUCAGUAACGGCGAGUGAAGCGGCAACAGCUCAAAUUUGAAAUCUGGCUCUUUCAGAGUCCGAGUUGUAAUUUGUAGAGGAUGCUUCGGAAUGGUCCCAGUCUAAGUUCCUUGGAACAGGACGUCGCAGAGGGUGAGAAUCCCGUAUGUGACUGGGUAACCGGCCCAUGUGAAGCUCCUUAGACGAGUCGAGUUGUUUGGGAAUGCAGCUCUAAAUGGGUGGUAAAUUUCAUCUAAAGCUAAAUAUUGGCCAGAGACCGAUAGCGCACAAGUAGAGUGAUCGAAAGAUGAAAAGCACUUUGGAAAGAGAGUUAAAAAGUACGUGAAAUUGUUGAAAGGGAAGCGUUUGCAACCAGACUUGCCUGCAGUUGAUCAACCGGUGUUCUCACCGGUGCACUCUUGUGCAGACAGGCCAGCAUCAGUUUGGGUGGUUGGAUAAAGGCCGGAGGAAUGUAGCUCCUCUCGGGGAGAAUUUAUAGCCUCCGGCGUCAUGCAGCCUGCCCGGGCUGAGGAACGCGCUUUUAGCUAGGA
This 1439-nucleotide ribosomal RNA is filed under the name Symbiotaphrina microtheca. RNAcentral's name for it is "eukaryotic LSU rRNA". The stretch from base 832 to 1439 matches the Rfam family "Eukaryotic large subunit ribosomal RNA", at positions 1 to 614 of the family's 3401-position model. Lineage: Eukaryota; Fungi; Ascomycota; Symbiotaphrinales; Symbiotaphrinaceae. The record is from RNAcentral.